GCUGGGAUGAAGCUAAGUGGCAAAGUGUUUGUCUUGCAUUCAUAAAGCCCUGGGUUCUAUCCUCAGUUCCAAAA
This 74-nucleotide transfer RNA is filed under the name Marmota monax (woodchuck). Its description in RNAcentral is "tRNA.Ala". Lineage: Eukaryota; Metazoa; Chordata; Mammalia; Rodentia; Sciuridae. The record is from RNAcentral.